Molecule: ribosomal RNA, 117 nt
Filed under: Pteropus alecto (black flying fox)
Lineage: Eukaryota; Metazoa; Chordata; Mammalia; Chiroptera; Pteropodidae
Source: RNAcentral
GCUAGAUACCAGACCAUGGGGAAAAUUAAAAAAUACAAAGAGACAGAAGCUAAGCGAGGUUGGGCCUGGUUAGUACUUGGAUGGGAGACCACUUAGGAAGACCAGGUGCUGCAGGCG